RNAcentral lists this ribosomal RNA (465 nucleotides) under uncultured bacterium. Its description in RNAcentral is "partial 16S ribosomal RNA". It matches the Rfam family "Bacterial small subunit ribosomal RNA", at positions 28 to 507 of the family's 1533-position model. The record is from RNAcentral.
GACGAACGCUGGCGGCGUGCUUAACACAUGCAAGUCGAACGGACAGGCCCUGCUUGCGGUGUACUCGUGUGGCGAACGGGUGAGUAAGUAGUGGGUGAUUUGCCUUGCACUUCGGGUUAAGCAUGGGAAACUGGGUCUAAUACCGGCUAUGACCUUCUUUGUAGUGCGGGGGGUGGAAAGAUUUAUCGGUGUGGGAUGAGCUGGUGGCUUAUUCGCUAGUUGGUGGGGUAAUGGCUUACCAAGGCGUUGACGGGUAGACGGCCUGAGAGGGUGGACGGCCACAUUGGUACUAAGAUACGGCCCAGACUCCUACGGUAGGCAACAGUGGGGAAUAUUGCACAAUGGGCGGAAGCCUUAUACAGCGACGCCGCGUGGGGAAUGACGUCCUUCGGGUUGUAAACCUCUUUCGACAGAAACGAAGCUUCGGUGACGGUACCUAUAUAAGAAGCACCGGCUAACUACGUG